This 440-nucleotide ribosomal RNA is filed under the name uncultured bacterium. Its description in RNAcentral is "partial 16S ribosomal RNA". It matches the Rfam family "Bacterial small subunit ribosomal RNA", at positions 338 to 795 of the family's 1533-position model. The record is from RNAcentral.
CCUACGGGUGGCAGCAGUAGGGAAUAUUGCUCAAUGGGGGAAACCCUGAAGCAGCAACGCCGCGUGGAGGAUGAAGGUUUUCGGAUUGUAAACUCCUUUUGUUAGAGAAGAUAAUGACGGUAUCUAACGAAUAAGCACCGGCUAACUCCGUGCCAGCAGCCGCGGUAAUACGGAGGGUGCAAGCGUUACUCGGAAUCACUGGGCGUAAAGGGCGCGUAGGCGGGAUAGCAAGUCAGAUGUGAAAUCCUAUGGCUUAACCAUAGAACUGCAUUUGAAACUGUUAUGCUAGAGUAUGGGAGAGGUAGGUGGAAUUCUUGGUGUAGGGGUAAAAUCCGUAGAGAUCAAGAGGAAUACUCAUUGCGAAGGCGACCUGCUGGAACAUAACUGACGCUGAUGCGCGAAAGCGUGGGGAGCAAACAGGAUUAGAUACCCGAGUAGUC